AAUGGGGGAUAACGUAGCGAAAGUUACGCUAAUACCGCAUAUGCCCUGAGGGGGAAAGUGGGGGAUCGCAAGACCUCACGUUUUCGGAGCGGCCGAUAUCAGAUUAGCUAGUUGGUGGGGUAAAGGCCUACCAAGACGGCGAUCUGUAGCUGGUCUGAGAGGACGACCAGCCACACUGGGACUGAGACACGGCCCAGACUCCUACGGGAGGCAGCAGUGGGGAAUUUUGGACAAUGGGGGCAACCCUGAUCCAGCCAUGCCGCGUGAGUGAAGAAGGCCUUCGGGUUGUAAAGCUCUUUCGGACGGAAAGAAAUCCUAUCCGCUAAUACCGGGUGGGGAUGACGGUACCGUAAGAAGAAGCACCGGCUAACUACGUGCCAGCAGCCGCGGUAAUACGUAGGGUGCGAGCGUUAAUCGGAAUUACUGGGCGUAAAGCGUGCGCAGGCGGUUUAUUAAGACAGAUGUGAAAUCCCCGGGCUUAACCUGGGAACUGCAUUUGUGACUGGUAGGCUAGAGUGUGGCAGAGGGGGGUAGAAUUCCA
Molecule: ribosomal RNA, 541 nt
Filed under: uncultured Gallionellaceae bacterium
Lineage: Bacteria; Pseudomonadati; Pseudomonadota; Betaproteobacteria; Nitrosomonadales; Gallionellaceae
Description: bacterial SSU rRNA
Rfam family: Bacterial small subunit ribosomal RNA
Source: RNAcentral